AUUGUUAAGGCUUUCAUUUUUAUCUUUCCAUUUUCUAAUCGAAACUGGUCAAAAGUAUUAAUGACAGAGAUAAUAUAAUAGAUAGAUAAAUGGUGGCACAUAAUCGGAGGCCACGACUGUUUACUAAAAACAUAACACAGUGCAAUCAUUAAUAUGGUAGUAUACUGUGUGAAAUUUGCCCAAUGCCAUUAAUAUAAAAGCGGUCAUGGGAAACUGUGACUAAUUGAAAAUCUGGUUAAUAGCGGUCUUAACCAUGAGGAUCCUAAGGUAGCAAAAUAAAUUGGCCAUUAAAUGUGGUCCGGUAUCAAUAAUGUAACGAUGGCCUCACUGUCUCUACAACUUGCUCAGUGAAAUUGAAUUACGCGUGC
This 368-nucleotide ribosomal RNA is filed under the name Amanita sp. C294gn. RNAcentral describes it as "LSU rRNA". It matches the Rfam family "Bacterial large subunit ribosomal RNA", at positions 1701 to 2056 of the family's 2925-position model. Lineage: Eukaryota; Fungi; Basidiomycota; Agaricomycetes; Agaricales; Amanitaceae. The record is from RNAcentral.